RNAcentral lists this ribosomal RNA (804 nucleotides) under Triticum aestivum (bread wheat). RNAcentral describes it as "partial small subunit ribosomal RNA". Lineage: Eukaryota; Viridiplantae; Streptophyta; Magnoliopsida; Poales; Poaceae. The record is from RNAcentral.
AUGGGGUUGACAUUUGAUUCGCUAGGAGAGGCCUACGACUACUACAAUCUGUAUUCAUGGGAAUGCGGUUUCGGAAUCAGGUACGGGAAGAGUCGUACAAAUGUCAAAGGUGCUAAAAGCAUGCAAGAGCUGCUGUGCAACUGCGGGGGGAAACCAAAGAAGGUGAACUCUACCUCUUCCAGAACAGAGUGUCCAACGAUGAUUAGAUUGCUGAGAACUGAAGAUGAUGGCUGGUACAUAUGUGAGUACAGAGUCUCUCACAACCAUGAGAUGUUACACACAUGCGCCAAGAAACUCCACUUCCCUUCCCACCGACACAUAGACAAAUACACAAGAGAGCUGGUAUCUCAACUGCGUCAGAAUAAUGUCAACCUCAGCAAUGUUUACAGCAUAAUAGGGACAUUUUUUGGUCGCAUAGAGAAUGUUCCUUUCACCAAAAGAUGCAUGAGGACCUUGUGCGCGAAACUAAGCAGAGACCAAGCAGAUGGAGAUGUUAAGAAGACAAUGGAUUAUUUUGCUGAGUUGAAGCAGAGUGACCCUGAGUUCACUUAUACAGUUCGUGUAGACAAUGAGAGUAGAGUUAGAACAUUGAUAUGGACAACUGGGAAGAGCAAAUUACAGUACCACUACUUUGGUGAUGUUGUUACAUUUGAUACUACCUACAGGACAAAUCUAUACAACAUGUCAUUCGGACUAUUUGUUGGGGUUAACAACCAUUUCCAGAGUGUUAUAUACGCUGGUGUACUUAUGCGUGAUGAGAAAGUAGAGAGCUUUAACUGGGUUUUUCAGAGUUUGUCAAGUUGA